RNAcentral lists this long non-coding RNA (290 nucleotides) under Homo sapiens (human). RNAcentral describes it as "non-protein coding lnc-PTAFR-10:1". Lineage: Eukaryota; Metazoa; Chordata; Mammalia; Primates; Hominidae. The record is from RNAcentral.
GAGCCCAGGAGUUUGAGACCAGCUUGGGCAACAUAAUAAGACCCUCAUGUCUUAAAAAAAUAAAAAAAAUAAAAACUAAAAACUUUGUGUAUUAUAUAUGCUCAGUAAAUGAUAGUUCUCUUAUCUUUCCCACUAUUAUUGGUUUUAAAGAAUGGUGUAGACAGGUUUUCCUUAAAUGGCCUCUGUUGUUCUCCUUUCUCCCAAAAUAUUCAUUAUUAAUUUUGUCUAAUUUUCAUUAAGAAAUUUGUAGGUAUUGGAGUAAACCUUUGUUCACUUCUUUUUUUUUUUUU